GACGAACGCUGGCGGCGUGCUUAACACAUGCAAGUCGAACGGAAAGGCCCAGCUUGCUGGGUGCUCGAGUGGCGAACGGGUGAGUAACACGUGGGUGAUCUGCCCCUAACUUCGGGAUAAGCUUGGGAAACUGGGUCUAAUACCGGAUAGGACAAUCGUUUAGUGUCGGUUGUGGAAAGUUUUUUCGGUUAGGGAUGAGCCCGCGGCCUAUCAGCUUGUUGGUGGGGUAAUGGCCUACCAAGGCGUCGACGGGUAGCCGGCCUGAGAGGGUGGACGGCCACAUUGGGACUGAGAUACGGCCCAGACUCCUACGGGAGGCAGCAGUGGGGAAUAUUGCACAAUGGGCGCAGGCCUGAUGCAGCGACGCCGCGUGGGGGAUGACGGCCUUCGGGUUGUAAACCUCUUUCGACAGGGACGAAGCUUUGGUGACGGUACCUGUAUAAGAAGCACCGGCUAACUACGUG
This 464-nucleotide ribosomal RNA is filed under the name uncultured bacterium. RNAcentral describes it as "partial 16S ribosomal RNA". It matches the Rfam family "Bacterial small subunit ribosomal RNA", at positions 28 to 507 of the family's 1533-position model. The record is from RNAcentral.